RNAcentral lists this ribosomal RNA (503 nucleotides) under uncultured bacterium. Its description in RNAcentral is "partial 16S ribosomal RNA". It matches the Rfam family "Bacterial small subunit ribosomal RNA", at positions 28 to 523 of the family's 1533-position model. The record is from RNAcentral.
GAUGAACGCUAGCAGCAGGCCUAACACAUGCAAGUCGAGGGGUAGCAGGAUUAAGCUUGCUUAAUUGCUGACGACCGGCGCACGGGUGCGUAACGCGUAUGCAACCUACCUUAUACUGGGGUAUAGCCCGGAGAAAUUCGGAUUAAUCCCCCAUAGUACUAAUGAAUCGCAUGGUUUAUUAGUUAAAGCAUUGCGGUAUAAGAUGGGCAUGCGUCCUAUUAGCUAGAUGGUGAGGUAACGGCUCACCAUGGCUACGAUAGGUAGGGGGCCUGGGAGGGUGGUCCCCCACACUGGUACUGAGACACGGACCAGACUCCUACGGGAGGCAGCAGUGAGGAAUAUUGGUCAAUGGGCGCAAGCUUGAACCAGCCAUGCCGCGUGCAGGAAGAAUGCCCUAUGGGUUGUAAACCGCUUUUAUUUGGGAAUAAACCUCUUUACGUGUAGAGAGCUGAAGGUACCAAAUGAAUAAGCACCGGCUAACUCCGUGCCAGCCGCCGCCGUAA